This 305-nucleotide ribosomal RNA is filed under the name uncultured bacterium. RNAcentral's name for it is "bacterial SSU rRNA". It matches the Rfam family "Bacterial small subunit ribosomal RNA", at positions 335 to 658 of the family's 1533-position model. The record is from RNAcentral.
UGCCUACGGGACGCAGCAGUGGGGAAUAUUGCACAAUGGGGGGAACCCUGAUGCAGCGACGCCGCGUGGGUGAAGAAGUCAUUCGUGACGUAAAGCCCUAUCAGCAGGGAAGAAAAUGACGGUACCUGACUAAGAAGCCCCGGCUAACUACGUGCCAGCAGCCGCGGUAAUACGUAGGGGGCAAGCGUUAUCCGGAUUUACUGGGUGUAAAGGGAGCGUAGACGGUCCUGCAAGCCAGAUGUGAAAGCCCGGGGCUCAACCCCGGGACUGCAUUUGGAACUGUAAGGCUAGAGUGUCGGAGAGGC